GUAGAGACUCUUGGCCAGGCUGGUCUGAACUCCUGACUUCAUGAUUUGCCCGCCUUGGCCUUCCAAAGUACUGGGAUUACAGGCGUGAACCACCGCACCCAGCCUAAAGUGAAUUGUUAAUAGAUGAAAUUAAAGUCUUUCUGAAGUAAACUUUUCUCUUGGCAGUUAAUUUUUGAAUUCUUGAUCUUUGUUUUAUGUUGAAGCAGAAAAUGUGAUGAAAAUUGAUGCUUACCACCACACCAAAGAAUCUGAAGGCAAGUUGAGCUUGUAUAUGCAAGGGAAACAGAUACAGGAAAAUGUGGAAGAAUAAAAGCAGUUUUCAAAUGUCCUAUUUGUAAAAUCUACUUGAAGCACAAAAAAAGAUAAGCCAUUUUAUACUUUAAAAUUGUAAAGGGUUUGAUAGAUUGAAACUAUUUGCUACAAAUGAAAAUUUGUCAUUAAAAAAUACUUAAUGACAUUAAGAUUCCACUGAAAAUGUCCAGUUACAAAUUGGGAAAUAUUAGUUUUGAAAAUUUGCACCUAAUUUUGGAGGGUCAGAGGGUAAGCAGAAGACCUCCAGAGGAUACUAUUGAAGGCUUAUGCUCUGUAUCAGGCAAAUUACAUUUUCUAUAAGUUAAAUUUUUUUUUUUCAGUAUUUCUAUAUAAUGUAGAUUCCUUAACACAUUAUACUAAAAUGGUAUUUAUAGGAACAUGCUGUAAUAAUUGAUUAGAUGAAAUUGUGUUAAACUUCUUGGAUAAAUUGUAAAAUAGGUUGUAAGGUGGUAAUUCAUCCUGUUUUUCCAUUGGUUUCCGGUCGUUACUACCAAAAAGCAGAAAAAGAUUGCCUUAAUGUUUUCGUGCCAUAUACAUUUGGUAUUUAAUAAUGUUACUUGUUCAAGGUUAUUAAUAAAGCUUAAAUUCUUUUCAGUUUAGAUUGAAAUUUAUUAUUCAUGGAGCACUCAGAAUCAAUUGAGUAACAUAAAUUUUUACUAACAGAUAGUUAGAAUAUAAACUGUACUAUGUAUAUUUAAAGGUGCUUUCGUUAAUAGGGAUUUUCGUGAUACAGGUUGAGUAUCCGUUAUAGGAAAUACUUGGGACCAGAAGUGUUUGGGAUUUUUGAUUUUCUUUCUUUCUUUCUUUUUUGAUUUUGGAAUAUUUGCAUAUACGUAAUAGAUGUCUUGGGAUGGCACCUAAAUGUAAACAUGAAAUUCAGUUUUAUUUCAUGUACAUUUUAUGCACAGAGCCUGAAGAUAAUUUUAUACAGUAUUUUAAAUAAUUUUUAUGAGUGAAACAAACUGUAUACAUUGAAUCAGAAAGCAAAGAUGUCAUGUGUGAUUUUCCACAUGUGGUGUCAUGGUGUUAAUAAAUCCAGAUUUUGGAGCAUUUCAGAUUUCAUAGUUUUGGGUUGGGGAUGCUCAACCUGUAUCUAAGUAAAUAGAUACAAAAAGGUAAAUGUGUAAUGACACAAAGUCCCUGCGUGUCAGAUUAGUUUUUUGUUAUUUAUUUAUCAUCAGCUAUUGAAAAGAGCUUUGAAGAUUUCCAAGCAUCCAUGAGCAACAUAAUGUCUAGAAAAAUGGAGAGUUAUAUAUGUGAGACAUUAGCACAGAGAAUGGAGGGAAGUUUCUGUAUAACUUCUAAUUAGCUUAUUUUCAGAUUUCAUAGACUGCUAGGUUAUUUGUAGACAUUUCAAAAUACAUUUACUUGAAAUGUUCAGGCAAUAUAUACUCUGGUUUUAGGAAGUGCCUUUUGUCAGUUUGGAAAAAUAUUAAUGUACUUAGACAUAAUUUAAAUGUGUUGAGUCAAAUUGAGCCUUUCUUUGAUAUGGGAAAUUGCCUUAGGGUUACCAUCACACACAUCAUUUAACAUUAUACUGUAUAGUGUAGUUCCAGAACUAUACUGUCCACUUUGAUACCAUCACCUACAUGUGGUUAUUAAGUGCUUAAACUGAAUUGAGAUGUGUUGUUAACUGUAAAAUUUACACCAGCGUUUGAAAUUUUGGUAUGAACAAAAUAGCUUAAAUAUCUUAAUAGUUUUGAUAUACUAUAUGUGUUCAAAUAGUAUUUUGCAGAUAGUGAGUUAAGUAAAAUAUCAAAAUUAAUUUGACCUUUUAUUAAAAACUUUUUUUUCAGUAUGGCUGCUUAAAAGUUUAAAAUUACUUAUGGCUCAUAUAUAUUAUAUUUCUACUGGACAACGUCUUAUCCGGAAGGUUGGAUUGAAUCAGUGUAGUAAGAUAUCUGAGGGGAAAAAAAGUCUGUGAGAUCAUUGUUUUCUAAUUUGCUUUAUUCUAAUACUGGACAUGUGAAAAACUCAUUAUUUAAUGAUUCUGAUUAACAGAGAUUAUUUAGCUUUCUUUAAGAAACAGCAUAAUUGAAGUAUAAUUUGCGUAUCAAACAAUUCACCGUUUUAAAGUCUGUAAUUGAUGUAAUACAUUCACAGGGCCGUGCAGUCAAUUUUAGAACAUACUUAUCACCCUCAAAAGAAACUCUGUAUCCUUUUAGCAGUUACCCUUCAUUUCUCCCUGUGUCCCCCAGGCUUAGGCAACUACUGAUCUAUUUUUUUGUCUAUAGAUUUGCUUAUUCUGGACUUUUGUUGUAAGUAGAAUCAUGUGGUCUUUUGUGAUUGGCUUUCAUUUAGCAUAAUGUUUUCAAGGUUCAUUCCUGUUGAAGCAUGUACUGGUAGUUCCUUUUUAUUACCGAAUAACAUUCCAUUGUGUGGGUAUAUACCACAUUUUAUUUCUCUGUCACGUGGUAGACAUUGGGUGAUUUCUACUUUCUAGCUAUUAUGACUAAUGCCUCUGAACACUGGUGUGUAAGUUUUUGUGGGGCCAUAUGUUUUCAUUUUCCUGGGUGUAGAUCUAGAGUGGAAAUUGCUGGGUCAAAGCUCUAUGUUGAACUUUAUGAGGAGCUCUCAAAUUAUUUUCCAAGGUGUCUGUACCAUUUUACAUUCCCACCAGCAAUGAUGAGGAUUCCAGUUACCACAUUUCAGUAAUACUUAUUAAUGUCUUUGUGAUUAUAGCCAUCCUACUGACUGUGAAAUGGUAUCUUACUGUGAUUACUUUGCUUUUUCAUUAUUAUUUUUGCUGGGGGCAUUCUGGGAAAAACUGGAAAACCAGCUAGACAGAUUUAGUUUUUAUUAUUUGAGCAGUAGAGCUCAGUGUGGUUUGGGGAGGGUUCCCCAAUACCCUGUUAAGGGGACCAUGAGAUGAAACUAUUUUCAUAGCAAUUCUGAGAUGUUAUUUUUAUUUUUCAGUCCAAUUUUCUCAAAAAUGAGCAGUGUACUUGGCUAGAGGUUUUAAGAUGUAGGAUAUCACAACAGGUAUGAAAAGCUGUCUUCUAUUAUGAGACUAAAGUGAUUUCUAAAAAUGUAAAAUAAUGCCAGUCUUAUCACUGAGAAAAUUUAUUUUUCAUGAGGGUGUUAUAUUAACAUAUAAUGUAUUAUUUUUAAAUGAAUUUAUUUUUAAGGAUUAUUUCAUUUUAAUUUGUAAUAUUAUAAAUAUUAACAGCUGUAACCUAAAUAAAAAAAACUCUUUGGAGUUCAGAAGUUGUAAAAUGGUGUCCUGAGAGCAAAAAUUUCUGUGGUGGCGUAUUUAAUAGAUUAAGUGUGUACUUAAAAUAUUGGGUAGUAGCUCCGCUAAGUUGCCAUUACCUCUUGCCUAGAAACUGCAGUAGCCUACUGGUCGGUCACCUAACUUUUCUAUAACUCUCCCACCAGCCAUUCCAAGAGUGAUCUCUGAAAAAUGUUAGUCAGAGCAUGCCAUCCUCUGUGUAAAGCUAAUGACUCCCUAUUGGUCUCAGAAUAUAUGGUGGGUUAGUGAGGCUCUAUGUAAUACUGUUCUCUGCCCUCACCAUUCUCUGGAUGCCUGCUUUCUUUGCUUGCUUGGCUCACUUGACCUGUUAAUACAUCAUUUUUUUCCUGCCUCAGGAAUUUUAUACAAUUUAUUCUUGCUACCUAGAAUGCAAGAACACUCUUUGCCCAUUUCUCUUCCAUCUUUAAAUCUCAAUGCAAAGGUCAGUUUCUCCAGGUAACAUCUGCUUCUGAUUGUCCAAAUUAGAUUGGGAUCCCCUGUUGCAUUUCUCACAGCAGCCUGUUUUUAGUAAGAAUUCAUCACAACUUAAAAUUGUGUAUUUAUGUGAUUCAUUCUCUUUAGAGAGGGGCUGUGAUUGUUCACCAUUGUAUUACCAGAGCCUAGGGGAUAAUAAAUUGUCUGCAGAUGAAUCUAGUCCAUUACGUACAAUAAUAUAUUCAAUAACAACUACUAAUUGUUGAACCUUUACUAAGUGUAGUAUAUACAUAAUCUCAUAGCUUCCAGCCCUCUUGUGGAAGCUUCCUCUUAAGCUGUUCUUCCUAGGUCACCACUCCGAAGUGCAACUCUUGACUACUUCAUGAUGUUCACUCUUGUUUCUCUCCCUGGAACAUUAUCCUUGUAGAACCACCUUUCUUAGCUGGAGACUGUCAUCUGAACCACAGAGCACAGAAAGUGAUUUGAAUAGCUACGCAUUUCUCUCAAAGGUGGUUCAUAAUAAAUACAAUUUUAGAUGUGUAGAAGAGAAGUUAAUUCAUUACGUCGUGAGUGGUUUGCUGGUAAGUGCUGGUUUACCAACCAGUUGUUCAGGAAAAACACUGAUUUGUAGUGUUUGCUGGAUUUCCAUGAUGUAAAUAUUCUCACUGUGGCAGAUUUCAA
Molecule: long non-coding RNA, 4660 nt
Organism: Sapajus apella (tufted capuchin)
Lineage: Eukaryota; Metazoa; Chordata; Mammalia; Primates; Cebidae
Exons: 2
Source: RefSeq, a predicted model, not a curated record